GGAUAUAGAAUCCAGGUCCUCUACCGCCCAGACCUGUGCUCUUUUCACUAGGCCUUGCUGCUUUGACUACUAGUUUAGCCCCAACGUAAUCAAAGGUAUCUAUUGAGUGCUUAUUUUGUGCUAGAGCUUGGGAGUGUACUGUACAGUUAAUAGGCACAGUCCCCCCGCUCGAGGAUCUUACAGUGCAAUGGAGGAGACUGCCAUUAAAAUAAAUUGGGAAGCAACCGAGUGUAAGGAUUUGUACUUAAAUCCUGUGGGUGUAGGGGAACGAGUACCGAAGUGCUUAGGGUGUGGGACUGAAUUUGUGGGCGAGGCAGUAGGGAGGGAAAAUAAGCACACUAUUUAGGAAUGAGAGGGUAGUCAGGGAAGGCUUCCUGGAGGAGCUAGGCUUUGAAGAUGGGGAGAGUACUGUCCUGUCUGAUAGUACAGGGAGGGAGUUCCAGUAGGACAUCGAGUAGGUUGGAAGUAGAGGGGUAAAGUAUACGGCUAGGUGUAGAGAUAGAUGGGCAGUGUUUAGAGGUACUUGAGGAGUAGAAUGGUUUUUUUUAGAAAAUGAUCUAGGCAGCAGAGGGAAGUAUGGACUGGAGAGGGGAGGGACUGGAUUCAUGCUUUAAGAGAGGAGUUGGAUGAGAUGGAAGAAAUGAAUUCUCGAGUUGUUUGUCCCAUUUCUCUCCUUCCAUUCCUUUCCAAACAGCUCCAGUGAAUUGUUUACACCUGCUGCCUCCAUUUUCUCUGCUCCAAUUGUCCCCUUGAUUCCCUGCAGUCUGGCUUUCGCUCCCUCCUCUCCACAGAAACUGCCUUCUCUAAGGUCACCGAUGACCUCCUCCUUACCAAAUCCAGCGGCCUCGACUCCAUCCUGUUCCGUCCGAUCUUUCAGCCGCCGUCAACACUGUGGACCAUCCCCUUCUCUGAGAAACAUUAACGUUGGCUUCACUGAUACCUCUGUCUCCUAUCUCUGCAAUCACUCCCUCUUGAUCUUUCUGGUGGGCUCCUCCUCCCACUCCUUAACUGUGGGAGUCCAUCAAGGCUCAGUUCUUGGUUCCCUUCUGGUCUCCCUCCUCACCCAUUAACGCCAACCAUAUGUGCAUAAACCGUUUCUUCCAACACCAUGUUACAUUGUCUCCAAACAGGCUUGUUUUAUUGGAAGAUGACUCUUACCCCAUAACAGCUGUCAAAGUGAAAUAUAUAGUGAAAACCCAUUAUGGCCACUAUCCCAAGACCACCUUCAUCUGAUCUUUUGACUGUCACCUGGAAGAUUAAAGAUAGAUUGUAUUAAUCACAGUAUCUUUAAUUUGAGUCUGUUCGCUGUAAGAUUUUAUACUACCUACAGUCUACCAUAGAGGCUGUGUCUACCCUGGGCAAGGACACUAGUUAUUUACAAUUAGUGGGGAUGGUGUUAGAGACAGAAUCCCUUUGACAGACUGCUUUUCUAAGAUCCCGAGGCUACUUUCAUCUGACCAUUUGACCGUCACCUGGAAGACUAAAGGCUCAGUUGUCUAUAUGCAGCAGCUCCUGAACUGCAGAAUUCCUUCCAGAUGUCUUCCAUCUCCUGGAACCUGACCUACAACACCUCAGCACGAGUACUAAUCUCCCAUUCCAGGCAAGCAGUGUGGCCAAUCUUUUUGGAAGUUUUUUUCGGAGGAAGGACAGCUCCCAGAAACUGGAAUUCAGCUUCUUACAGCAUGAUGAAGCCAUCUGUCAUUCCAAGCCUGCAUAUUGGCACCUUUUGCUAACACACCGGAGAAGCAGACUUCCAGAUGUUCAAGCUGAACUUUCUUCAAUUGAUCCAUUUCUUUGGAUUGCUUCACUGCAAGCUGAAAAUGAGAACAUUAAACCCAGAUGAAAUGAUGGUGUAGUUUAAGGCGUUGGUUGAUGUCUUCGUUGAGAAGCAGUAUGGCCUAGGUGGAUAGAGCUUGGGAUUGGGAAGCGGAAGA
This is a long non-coding RNA of Ornithorhynchus anatinus (platypus), 1934 nucleotides long. RefSeq lists it as uncharacterized. The record is from RefSeq and is a predicted model, not a curated record. The transcript is spliced from 9 exons. NCBI's taxonomy places the organism in Eukaryota, Metazoa, Chordata, Mammalia, Monotremata, Ornithorhynchidae.